Molecule: ribosomal RNA, 735 nt
Filed under: Triticum aestivum (bread wheat)
Lineage: Eukaryota; Viridiplantae; Streptophyta; Magnoliopsida; Poales; Poaceae
Description: partial small subunit ribosomal RNA
Source: RNAcentral
AUGCUGAGCAAUUGCAGGCAUGUAAGGUUCAACGAAAUUGAGAACCUACACAUAUACAAUAGAGGUUGGGACGCAAUGACAAAGGUUUUGUGUGCUCGCAUCAAACAUACUCGGAGUGGAACUGCCGUCUUUCACGCCAUCCUCAUCGACCAGACUGGGGUCAAAAUGGAUGCAAUUGCAUUCGAUCCGUUUCAACCUAUCGCAUAUCGCUUCAUGGACAACCUACGUGCCGGCUCAGUAUACUUUUUCAGUAAAGUUGGUUUCGAACCAGCAGGUGUGCAUCUGCCAGUUGCUUUGUGGUUGCCAUGUGACUUUUACAUCGCCCUCCACUCGCGCACUAAAAUACGUCUUGCAAGGGCCAGCAUUAACAUCACUACGUUGCCGCCACUAUUCAGAGAUUUUAUAAAUGUCUUCAGCCUCAGAGACAGGAUGCUUGCAGAUGUCAUUGGUAUAGUGAUGCAUGUCAGCCGCAUAAUGUUACACAGGUCAUCCGACCGUACCACGCCAUACCGACAUGUGGUGCUAAUGGACAGUCGGAGGGAGUUUAUCUACCUACGCGUUUGGGACCAGCAUGUGUCACGCCACUUGACACGAUGGGGACUAGCGAAGCAGGGGCUCUGGACUUUAGGUGCCACACUGCUUGAGGUCAACAGAGCAAAACGGUUUCUGAAAACGACAUACAUGAACCAGCUUGUCUUCGAACCAGACAACCAGCAAUCCUACGAGCCUCUCUGA